Molecule: non-coding RNA, 30 nt
Filed under: Mus musculus (house mouse)
Lineage: Eukaryota; Metazoa; Chordata; Mammalia; Rodentia; Muridae
Source: RNAcentral
UGGCAAUAUUUAACUGCUCCUAGUAAUUGC